Long non-coding RNA from Salvia miltiorrhiza (redroot sage), 752 nucleotides. RefSeq lists it as uncharacterized. The transcript is spliced from 3 exons. The record is from RefSeq and is a predicted model, not a curated record. NCBI's taxonomy places the organism in Eukaryota, Viridiplantae, Streptophyta, Magnoliopsida, Lamiales, Lamiaceae.
AGUCCAACUGGACCAACUCUCUCUUCGUUUCUUUUUUUCCUCAAUUCCAAAAGAAAAAACCCUUGCCGCGAAUUCUCAAAUCCACAACGAGAAAGCUUCCAUCUUUGACGAGAAUUUGCUCACCAAUCCAAACCUCUGCGAUUUGGAGCUACCGCCGAUGAGAAGCUGCGAUUUUGCACUGUCGAUUUUCGCUUUAAAUGGUUUAUCUCCUUUGUGAAAGAUCUCCGAUCGCAAUGUCGACGAUUUUGACGUUCUGAGCAUGCUCCCGCGCUCACCUCGCCGCUUCCCCAAUCAUUGUAACUUCUCGUCUCUAAUUGUUUAUCGGUUACUCUGGUGUUAUCCUCUGUAUAUUUGACUAAACCUUUUCUUCUUAAAGUUUUUAUUUAUUUUUAUGUUGGUGGUUUAAUUUUCUCCAAUAUUGAUGUUUCUGCUCAAUUGUUGCAGAUAUUGGUGAAGAGCACUAAAGUUACAAAAUUUGUGUUGUAGUUCUCUACAUCUACAUUUAACUAAUACUACAGUGUUUGAGUCUGAUGCAGCUUUACAUCUACAACUACGUGCUCUACAUGAUAUAUCAUAUACAGGUUAAAUCUUGAAUGAUGGGAGAUUCAGUCUAUAAAGGCACAAUAGAUUGCUUCUUCAAAACAUUAAAAACUGAGGUAUGUAUUCUCUUUCAGUUCUGAUUCGUCGAAAUAGUGACUGACCAUAGUUUUAUCUGUAUUAUUCUUCUACUGCUCACAGUUCUACAUUUCUGA